CUUGAUUUUGGUUCCAAUUAUUUGUCGUCUCUGUUGUAUUAUUUCAAUGAGCUGGUCACAUUCUUCCAUCAGCUUGGUUUCUUGGCGAGAUGCAUUUACUUCUACAUGUUGACAGGUCUGAAUGAGUUUUGCCAGAAGAGUUUCCAGUUCAGUAUUCCUCUUAAUAAGGUUGGUGAGGUUACUCUCCAAAUUUUGCUUCAGCUUGUCGUAGCGCUCGCUUAGAGCUGCCACUUGAU
This 236-nucleotide long non-coding RNA is filed under the name Gallus gallus (chicken). The record is from RNAcentral. Lineage: Eukaryota; Metazoa; Chordata; Aves; Galliformes; Phasianidae.